This 374-nucleotide ribosomal RNA is filed under the name uncultured bacterium. Its description in RNAcentral is "bacterial SSU rRNA". It matches the Rfam family "Bacterial small subunit ribosomal RNA", at positions 523 to 898 of the family's 1533-position model. The record is from RNAcentral.
AUACGUAGGGGGCAAGCGUUAUCCGGAAUCACUGGGCGUAAAGGGUGCGUAGGCGGCCAAUAAAGUCAGGGGUUAAAGGCUAGGGCUCAACCUUAGUAAGCCUUUGAAACUUAUUGGCUUGAGUGCAGGAGAGGUAAGUGGAAUCCCUAGUGUAGCGGUGAAAUGCGUAGAUAUUAGGAGGAACACCAGUGGCGAAGGCGACUUACUGGACUGUAACUGACGCUGAGGCACGAAAGCGUGGGUAGCGAACAGGAUUAGAUACCCUGGUAGUCCACGCCGUAAACGAUGAGUGCUAGGUGUUGGAGCCGACAGGCUUCGGUGCCGCAGCAAACGCAUUAAGCACUCCGCCUGGGGAGUACGUUCGCAAGAAUGAA